RNAcentral lists this ribosomal RNA (482 nucleotides) under uncultured bacterium. Its description in RNAcentral is "partial 16S ribosomal RNA". It matches the Rfam family "Bacterial small subunit ribosomal RNA", at positions 28 to 523 of the family's 1533-position model. The record is from RNAcentral.
GACGAACGCUGGAGGCGUGCUUAACGCAUGCAAGUCGAACGAUGAAAUGGAGCUUGCUCCAUGGAUUAGUGGCGAACGGGUGAGUAACACGUGAAUAACCUGCCCUUAAUUUUGGAAUAACCCAGGGAAACCUGGGCUAAUACCGGAUAAGUAAACCUGUGGCAUCACAUGGUUUUGGAAAGUUUUUCGAUUAAGGAUGGAUUCGCGGCCUACCAGCUUGUUGGGGAGGUAAUGGCUCACCAAGGCGACGACGGGUAGCCGGCCUGAGAGGGUGAACGGCCACACUGGGACUGAGACACGGCCCAGACUCCUACGGGAGGGAGCAGUGGGGAAUAUUGCGCAAUGGACGAAAGUCUGACGCAGCGACGCCUCGUGAGGGACGAAGGUCUUCGGAUUGUAAACCUCUUUCAGCAGGGACGAAGCGAAAGUGACGGUACCUGCAGAAGAAGCACCGGCUAACUAUGUGCCAGCCGCCGCCGUAA